RNAcentral lists this ribosomal RNA (1185 nucleotides) under Triticum aestivum (bread wheat). Its description in RNAcentral is "partial small subunit ribosomal RNA". The record is from RNAcentral. Lineage: Eukaryota; Viridiplantae; Streptophyta; Magnoliopsida; Poales; Poaceae.
AUGUCGUCCGACGAGGAGGUCAGGGAGGAGAAGGAGCUCGACCUCUCCUCCAACGAGGUCGUCACCAAGUACAAGACCGCCGCCGAGAUCAUUAACAAGGCUCUGAAGUUGGUAUUGUCGGAGUGCAAGCCGAAAGCCAAGAUUGUUGACAUUUGUGAGAAGGGUGACAAUUUCAUAACAGAGCAAACUGGGAAUGUCUACAAGAACGUGAAGAGGAAGAUUGAAAGGGGCAUUGCUUUCCCGACAUGUGUAUCUGUGAACAACACCGUCUGUCAUUUCUCCCCACUGGCAACUGACGAUUCUGUACUCGAAGAAAAUGACAUGGUGAAGAUCGAUAUGGCUUGCCAUAUUGAUGGUUUUAUUGCUGUGGUGGCUCAUACACAUGUAAUCAAAGCUGGGCCGGUUACUGGAAGAGCAGCUAAUGUUCUUGCUGCUGCAAACACAGCAGCAGAAGUUGCAAUGAGGCUUGUUAGACCUGGCAAGAAGAAUAAGGAUGUCACUGAAGCAAUUCAGAAAGUUGCUGCUGCUUAUGAUUGUAAAAUUGUUGAAGGAGUUCUUAGCCAUCAGCUGAAACAAUUUGUCAUCGAUGGUAACAAAGUGGUACUUAGUGUUUCAAACGCGGACACAAAGGUGGAUGAUGCUGAAUUUGAAGAAAAUGAAGUGUAUGCAAUUGAUAUUGUCACCAGCACUGGCGAGGGAAAGCCGAAGCUACUGGAUGAGAAGCAGACCACUAUUUACAAGAGAGCUGUAGACAAGAACUAUCACUUGAAGAUGAAGGCAUCAAGGUUCAUCUUCAGUGAGAUUAGCCAGAAGUUCCCAAUCAUGCCAUUCACUGCUAGGGCGCUGGAGGAGAAGCGUGCACGCUUAGGUUUGGUAGAAUGCAUGAAUCAUGAGCUGUUGCAGCCAUACCCUGUUCUACAUGAGAAGCAAGGCGACCUGGUUGCCCACAUCAAGUUCACCGUGUUGUUGAUGCCAAAUGGGUCUGACAAGAUAACUUCACAUCCACUACAGCAACUGGAGCCCUCAAAAUCCAUCGAGGGCGAUGCUGAGAUUAAGGCUUGGCUUGCUUUGGGCACAAAGUCAAAGAAGAAGGGUGGUGGCAAGAAAAAGAAAGGCAAGAAAGGAGAUGCUGCAGAAGUAGCAGAGCCCAUGGAGGUUUCUAAGGACGCACCAAGCCAGGAAUAA